AAGCUUCGGCAGAUUUAGCUUGUUUCUAGUGGCGGACGGGUGAGUAACGCGUGGGUAACCUGCCUUAUACUGGGGGAUAACAGCCAGAAAUGACUGCUAAUACCGCAUAAGCGCACAGAACCGCAUGGUUCAGUGUGAAAAACUCCGGUGGUAUGAGAUGGACCCGCGUCUGAUUAGCUAGUUGGUGGGGUAACGGCCUACCAAGCCGACGAUCAGUAGCCGACCUGAGAGGGUGACCGGCCACAUUGGGACUGAGACACGGCCCAGACUCC
Molecule: ribosomal RNA, 272 nt
Filed under: uncultured Eubacteriales bacterium
Lineage: Bacteria; Bacillati; Bacillota; Clostridia; Eubacteriales
Description: uncultured Clostridiales bacterium partial 16S ribosomal RNA
Rfam family: Bacterial small subunit ribosomal RNA
Source: RNAcentral